AUGGAGAGACUUGUUAAUGUUCAUUACAUUGACAAGGAGGCAUUCUUGAGUAACAAUGCCGACACGGGUGAGGAACCAUUGGUUUUUGAUAGAAGCCCUAGCUAUGAGGAUGUUGUUGCAAAAGUGAGACAAGUCUUGAAGUGGAUGGACACCAAUGUUGAUGUUAAGUUAAUAGGAAGGUAUGAUGUUGGAGUUGGAGCCAAAUCUCACUUGAAAAGUAUGCCUAUCACCUCGGAUUUGCAUUGGGAUGUAUACAAGGAAAAAGUAUCCCAAUCGGAAGACAAGUCACUUGAAUUGUUUGCCACCACUGAAUCUCCUCGGUUUACCUUUGAUUUGAACCGGCAUGUCUCUUCCCCAAUGGAUGACAUGAGCGUUGAGUUGUAUGCCCCCAAUGCUUCUAGCCAACCACCAACUAGCCAAGCAAAUGAAGUUGAGGUGAUUGCUAGUGACGGAGUAAUUCAAGAGGAUGAAGAUGCUUAUGAUGACGACGAAGAGCAAGAGGAAGGGUUUCAUGGCAAUGAUGUUGGUGACUUGGAUGUGUACAUAGCGCAAAAGGACAUGGAUCGUGACUUGCCUUUUAGGCGUCAAUAUGCGUAUGACUCGGAUGACGAGGGUCCAGUUGAACAGUUGGACGAGGAUGGAUUCACAAAGGAGGAGAACCAAAUCCACUUUGAGCUGACGGGCUUAAAAAAAGAACUCACUUAUUUAAAGAUCUCGGCCUUGCCCAUAAAGUUGUUGUUGACGGUGGAAUGA
This 753-nucleotide ribosomal RNA is filed under the name Triticum aestivum (bread wheat). RNAcentral describes it as "partial small subunit ribosomal RNA". The record is from RNAcentral. Lineage: Eukaryota; Viridiplantae; Streptophyta; Magnoliopsida; Poales; Poaceae.